This 497-nucleotide ribosomal RNA is filed under the name uncultured bacterium. RNAcentral's name for it is "partial 16S ribosomal RNA". It matches the Rfam family "Bacterial small subunit ribosomal RNA", at positions 28 to 507 of the family's 1533-position model. The record is from RNAcentral.
GACGAACGCUGGCGGCGUGCCUAAUACAUGCAAGUUGAGCGCUGAAGGUUGGUACUUGUACCAACUGGAUGAGCAGCGAACGGGUGAGUAACGCGUGGGGAAUCUGCCUUUGAGCGGGGGACAAUAUUUGGAAACGAAUGCUAAUACCGCAUAAAAACUUUAAACACAAGUUUUAAGUUUGAAAGAUGCAAUUGCAUCACUCAAAGAUGAUCCCGCGUUGUAUUAGCUAGUUGGUGAGGUAAAGGCUCACCAAGGCGGUGAUACAUAGCCGACCUGAGAGGGUGAUCGGCCACAUUGGGACUGAGACACGGCCCAAACUCCUACGGGAGGCAGCAGUAGGGAAUCUUCGGCAAUGGACGAAAGUCUGACCGAGCAACGCCGCGUGAGUGAAGAAGGUUUUCGGACCGUAAAACUCUGUUGGUAGAGAAGAACGUUGGUGAGAGUGGAAAGCUCAUCAAGUGACGGUAACUACCCAGAAAGGGACGGCUAACUACGUG